UNUGGGCUGUAACUGACGCUGAGAAGCGAAAGCAUGGGGAGCGAACAGGAUUAGAUACCCUGGUAGUCCAUGCCGUAAACGUUGGGCACUAGGUGUGGGGGACAUUCCACGUUUUCCGCGCCGUAGCUAACGCAUUAAGUGCCCCGCCUGGGGAGUACGGCCGCAAGGCUAAAACUCAAAGAAAUUGACGGGGGCCCGCACAUGCGGCGGAGUAUGCGGAUUAAUUCGAUGCAACGCGAAGAACCUUACCAAGGCUUGACAUAUACUGGACUGCGUCAGAGAUAGCGUUUCCCUUCGGGGCUGGUAUACAGGUGGUGCAUGGUUGUCGUCAGCUCGUGUCGUGAGAAGUUGGGUUAANNNNNNCAACGAGCGCAACCCUCGUUCUAUGUUGCCAGCACGUGAUGGUGGGGACUCAUAGGAGACUGCCGGGGUCAACUCGGAGGAAGGUGGGGAUGACGUCAAAUCAUCAUGCCCCUUAUGUCUUGGGCUUCACGCAUGCUACGAUGGCCAGUACAGAGGGUUGCGAUACUGUGAGGUGGAGCUAAUCCCUAAAAGCCGGUCUCAGUUCGGAUAGGGGUCUGCAACU
This 586-nucleotide ribosomal RNA is filed under the name uncultured bacterium. Its description in RNAcentral is "bacterial SSU rRNA". It matches the Rfam family "Bacterial small subunit ribosomal RNA", at positions 728 to 1312 of the family's 1533-position model. The record is from RNAcentral.